UGGAUGGGUAUAACCUCGGGAAACUGAGAAUAAUUCCCAAUAGAUCAUUUAUCCUGGAAUGGUUAGUGAUUGAAAUGAUUCGUCGCCAUAGGAUAGGACUGCGGCCUAUCAGCUUGUUGGUGAGGUAAAGGCCCACCAGGGCUAUUACAGGUACGGGCUCUGAGAGGAGAAGCCCGGAGAUGGGUACUGAGACACGGACCCAGGCCCUAUGGGGCGCAGCAGGCGAGAAAACUUUGCAAUGUGCGAAAGCACGACAAGGUUAAUCCGAGUGGUUUCUGCUAAAGAAAUCUUUUGCCAGUUCUAAAAAUACUGGUGAAUAAGGGGUGGGCAAGUUCUGGUGUCAGCCGCCGCGGUAAAACCAGCACCUCAAGUUGUCAGGAGGAUUAUUGGGCCUAAAGCAUCCGUAGCCGGCUC
This 414-nucleotide ribosomal RNA is filed under the name uncultured archaeon. Its description in RNAcentral is "bacterial SSU rRNA". It matches the Rfam family "Archaeal small subunit ribosomal RNA", at positions 117 to 531 of the family's 1478-position model. The record is from RNAcentral.